UGCUCAUUUCAGAAUUCCUGCGAAGAGAGC
Molecule: non-coding RNA, 30 nt
Filed under: Homo sapiens (human)
Lineage: Eukaryota; Metazoa; Chordata; Mammalia; Primates; Hominidae
Source: RNAcentral